This 361-nucleotide ribosomal RNA is filed under the name Alcaligenaceae bacterium. RNAcentral describes it as "partial 23S ribosomal RNA". It matches the Rfam family "Bacterial large subunit ribosomal RNA", at positions 2585 to 2925 of the family's 2925-position model. Lineage: Bacteria; Pseudomonadati; Pseudomonadota; Betaproteobacteria; Burkholderiales; Alcaligenaceae. The record is from RNAcentral.
CAUUUAAAGAGGUACGUGAGCUGGGUUUAAAACGUCGUGAGACAGUUUGGUCCCUAUCUUCCGUGGGCGCUGCAGAUUUGAGGAAGCCUGCUCCUAGUACGAGAGGACCGGAGUGGACGUACCUCUGGUGUACCGGUUGUCAUGCCAAUGGCAUUGCCGGGUAGCUAAGUACGGAAGAGAUAACCGCUGAAGGCAUCUAAGCGGGAAACUCGUCUGAAGAUUAGAUAUCCCUGGGAACUUGAUUCCCCUGAAGGGUCGUUCGAGACCAGGACGUUGAUAGGUCAGGUGUGGAAGCACAGUAAUGUGUUAAGCUAACUGAUACUAAUUGCCCGUGCGGCUUGAUCCUAUAACCCUGUUGGUU